GACGUUUGGUAGAGACUGUUGAAGCCACCUGGUCCCAGCAGAACCCAGAAAACGGCCACAUUCGCUGGUGCUGGAGCAAGGUCAUUAAGGGUGAAGCCUGGUGCCAGAUGUGG
Ribosomal RNA from Panthera pardus (leopard), 113 nucleotides. Lineage: Eukaryota; Metazoa; Chordata; Mammalia; Carnivora; Felidae. The record is from Ensembl.